UUACAUUUUAUGAUUGGGAGAGUACUUUAUCUGAAAAAAAGCAGCGAGUCGGGAUGGUGGAAGCCGAUUUUUGAAGGAUAAAAGAACCGCACCCAUGAAAAGGCUUGCUGAAACAGAGUAGGCAGGCACGGUGAGCAACCGUUAUCGUGUAUGAGUGACAUUUUUUGUGUCAUAAGAGUGGUACCGUGGAACUAAGCUUUCGCCUCUUUA
RNAcentral lists this non-coding RNA (210 nucleotides) under Bacillus gobiensis. RNAcentral describes it as "T-box sequence". It matches the Rfam family "T-box leader". Rfam says of the family: Uncharged tRNA acts as the effector for transcription antitermination of genes in the T-box leader family. T-boxes are found upstream of many aminoacyl-tRNA synthetase genes and some amino acid biosynthetic genes usually in Gram-positive bacteria. Lineage: Bacteria; Bacillati; Bacillota; Bacilli; Caryophanales; Bacillaceae. The record is from RNAcentral.